Molecule: unclassified non-coding RNA, 89 nt
Filed under: Pseudomonas moraviensis
Lineage: Bacteria; Pseudomonadati; Pseudomonadota; Gammaproteobacteria; Pseudomonadales; Pseudomonadaceae
Source: RNAcentral
UGUAGGAGUGAGCCUGCUCGCGAUGGCGGUCUGUCAGUCACAUUUGCAUGAACUGACAGACCGCCAUCGCGAGCAGGCUCACUCCUACA